This 290-nucleotide long non-coding RNA is filed under the name Monodelphis domestica (gray short-tailed opossum). Its description in RNAcentral is "lncRNA (ENSMODG00000034198.2)". Lineage: Eukaryota; Metazoa; Chordata; Mammalia; Didelphimorphia; Didelphidae. The record is from RNAcentral.
AAUUAUUAUCCCUUCUCUAGGAAUUGAUACAAGCCAACAGCCAAUAGUCUUCCUUGCUAAUAAGAAGAUCUGUGUUUGAAUGAAGCCAUACAUAAGGGCUUUUCAUGGCAAGAUGCUUUGAAACACUAAAGGGAGAAACUAUUCCUUUGCCUGAAUGAUUUUCAGAAAAAAGAAAAUGUCUCUGGCCUUAGCAUGAGAAAUCUUUCUGGAGCUAUCGACAUUCUGCCUUAGGUAGGGAGAACUUCCUUUAUUCUUGCCUUUGGACUCAGGGGGCUUCAAAUGGAAUCUUC